UGAGAUUAGAGAGAAAACUUGAUAAGAUUUCAAUAAGCAUUGAUUUUGGAUGAUUUGGAUUUGUAUUGACUUUCUAAGAGCUUUACAAAGUCAAGGUUUGUUUUAGAUGACUCUGGAUUUGUGAAAUAAAAUAGAAGAAGUUUUUUGGAGAAUUUUGUAAGUUUGGCAAUAGAUCUAUAAGUGAAAAUUUUGAAGGUUUGUAGGUAUAUAUGUGUUCAAUAUAUGUUAUGAGUUUGAGCUUGAUCUAAGAAUUGGAUUGAGGGUUAUUGAGGUUUAGAUGGGUGGAGGUCUUGGAAAAUAGAGUUUUAGAUCUAAUAAGGGAUUUUAAGUUUUUUUGCAAUUUAUUGGUUGGAUUGGAGUGAAAA
Molecule: long non-coding RNA, 365 nt
Filed under: Physcomitrium patens
Lineage: Eukaryota; Viridiplantae; Streptophyta; Bryopsida; Funariales; Funariaceae
Description: long non-coding RNA (PPAT_LNC004408)
Source: RNAcentral